This 1565-nucleotide ribosomal RNA is filed under the name Candidatus Aerophobota bacterium. RNAcentral's name for it is "bacterial SSU rRNA". It matches the Rfam family "Bacterial small subunit ribosomal RNA". Lineage: Bacteria; Candidatus Aerophobota. The record is from RNAcentral.
UUUUAUGAGAAUUUGAUCCUGGUUCAGAUUGAAUGCUAACAGCGUGGAUGAGGCAUGCAAGUCGAACGAGACUGCAAGCUUGUCUUGCAGACUAGUGGCGAAAGGGUUAGUAAUACAUGAAUAACUCACCUUUUACUUGGGAAUAACGAUUGGAAACGAUCGCUAAUACCUAAUGAGGAAUACCGAGAUAACUCGGAUAUUUCAAAGCAGGGGAUACCUUCGGGUACCUUGCGGUAAAUGAGAGGUUCAUGCGAUAUCAGCUUGUUGGUGUGGUAAAGGCGCACCAAGGCUAUGACGUCUAGGCGGACUGAGAGGUUGACCGCCAACACUGGGACUGAGAUACUGCCCAGACUCCUACGGGAGGCUGCAGUCGAGAAUCAUUCGCAAUGGGCGAAAGCCUGACGAUGCGACGCUGUGUGAGCGAUGAAGGCCUUCGGGUUGUAAAGCUCUUUCGCCGGGGAACAAGAGAUAGUACCUAAUAAGUACUAAAUUUGAGCGUACCCGGUAAAGAAGUACCGGCUAACUCCGUGCCAGCAGCUGCGGUAAUACGGAGGGUGCAAGCAUUAAUCGGAUUUAUUGGGUGUAAAGAGCGCGUAGGCGGAUUUGUAAGUUAGGUGUGAAAUCUCGAAGCUCAACUUCGAGGCUGCAUCUAAAACUACUUUUCUAGAGGGUAGACGGAGAAAAUGGAAUUCCACAUGUAGCGGUGAAAUGCGUAGAUAUGUGGAGGAACACCUGUGGCGAAAGCGAUUUUCUAGUUUAUUCCUGACGCUGAGGCGCGAAAGCAAGGGGAGCAAACAGGCUUAGAUAUCCUGGUAGUCCUUGCAGUAAACGAUGCAUACUUGGUGUAGCUGGAUUCAACCCCGGCUGUGCCGUAGCUAACGUGUUAAGUAUGCCACCUGAGGAGUACGCCCGCAAGGGUGAAACUCAAAAGAAUUGACGGGGGCCCGCACAAGCAGUGGAGCAUGUGGUUUAAUUCGAUGCAACGCGAAGAACCUUACCUAGGCUUGACAUAUAGAGGACCGCACCAGAAACGGUGUUUCCCGCAAGGGCCUCUAUACAGGUGCUGCAUGGCUGUCGUCAGCUCGUGCCGUGAGGUGUUGGGUUAAGUCCCGCAACGAGCGCAACCCUUGUCGUUAGUUACCAGCACAUAAUGGUGGGGACUCUAACGAGACUGCCUAGGUUAACUAGGAGGAAGGUGAGGAUGACGUCAAGUCCGCAUGGCCCUUAUGUCUGGGGCUACACACGUGCUACAAUGGUCGGUACAGAAGGCAGCAAAGCCGAAAGGUGGAGCAAAUCCAGAAAAACCGACCUCAGUUCGGAUUGAAGUCUGCAACUCGACUUCAUGAAGCCGGAAUUGCUAGUAAUGGCGCGUCAGCUACAGCGCCGUGAAUACGUUCUCGGGCCUUGUACACACCGCCCGUCACAUCAUGGAAGUUGGUUUUACCCGAAGCCGCUGACUCAACCGCAAGGGGAGAGGCGUCUAAGGUGAGGCUGAUGACUAGGAUGAAGUCGUAACAAGGUAGCCCUACCGGAAGGUGGGGCUGGAUCACCUCCUUUAAGGACAG